GACGAACGCUGGCGGCGUGCUUAACACAUGCAAGUCAAGGGGACCCGCAAGGGUAACCGGCGAACGGGUGCGUAACACGUGAGCAACCUGCCUCAGUGUGGGGGAUAGCCGGCCCAACGGCCGGGUAAUACCGCAUACGCUCAUUAAGUGGCAUCACUUGAUGAAGAAACUUCCGAGGCACUGAGAGGGGCUCGCGGCCUAUCAGCUUGUUGGUGGGGUAAUGGCCUACCAAGGCAACGACGGGUAGCUGGUCUGAGAGGAUGGCCAGCCACAUUGGGACUGAGAUACGGCCCAGACUCCUACGGGAGGCAGCAGUGGGGAAUAUUGCGCAAUGGGCGAAAGCCUGACGCAGCGACGCCGCGUGGGGAUGAAGCAUUUCGGUGU
This 384-nucleotide ribosomal RNA is filed under the name uncultured bacterium. RNAcentral describes it as "bacterial SSU rRNA". It matches the Rfam family "Bacterial small subunit ribosomal RNA", at positions 28 to 424 of the family's 1533-position model. The record is from RNAcentral.